RNAcentral lists this transfer RNA (64 nucleotides) under Eubacterium ruminantium. It matches the Rfam family "tRNA", at positions 6 to 65 of the family's 71-position model. Rfam says of the family: Transfer RNA (tRNA) molecules are approximately 80 nucleotides in length. Their secondary structure includes four short double-helical elements and three loops (D, anti-codon, and T loops). Further hydrogen bonds mediate the characteristic L-shaped molecular structure. tRNAs have two regions of fundamental functional importance: the anti-codon, which is responsible for specific mRNA codon recognition, and the 3' end, to which the tRNAs corresponding amino acid is attached (by aminoacyl-tRNA synthetases). tRNAs cope with the degeneracy of the genetic code in two manners: having more than one tRNA (with a specific anti-codon) for a particular amino acid; and 'wobble' base-pairing, i.e. permitting non-standard base-pairing at the 3rd anti-codon position. Lineage: Bacteria; Bacillati; Bacillota; Clostridia; Eubacteriales; Eubacteriaceae. The record is from RNAcentral. RNAcentral also lists the same sequence under 5 other names.
CGUAGCUCAGUUGGAUAGAGCAACGGCCUUCUAAGCCGUGGGUCGGGGGUUCGAAUCCCUUCGG